This 238-nucleotide unclassified non-coding RNA is filed under the name air metagenome. RNAcentral's name for it is "partial contains small subunit ribosomal RNA, internal transcribed spacer 1, and 5.8S ribosomal RNA". The stretch from base 1 to 46 matches the Rfam family "Eukaryotic small subunit ribosomal RNA", at positions 1786 to 1831 of the family's 1831-position model. The record is from RNAcentral.
AAGUCGUAACAAGGUCUCCGUUGGUGAACCAGCGGAGGGAUCAUUACUGAGUUAUCUAAACUCCAACCCUAUGUGAACCUUACCGUCGUUGCCUCGGCGGGCUGCGUCUACCCUGUAGCUACCUGGUAGGCGCGCUACAAGCCCGCCGGUGGACUACUAAACUCUGUUAUAAAUAUUGUAUCUCUGAAUGCUUCAACUUAAUAAGUUAAAACUUUCAACAACGGAUCUCUUGGUUCUG